Molecule: ribosomal RNA, 903 nt
Filed under: uncultured archaeon
Lineage: Archaea
Description: bacterial SSU rRNA
Rfam family: Archaeal small subunit ribosomal RNA
Source: RNAcentral
CCCCACUGCUAUCGGGAUGGGACUAAGACAUGCUAGUCAAGCGCCUUCCAGCCAUGUGGGAGGUGCGGCGCACAGCUCAGUAACACGUGGCUAACCUGCCCUUGGGAUAGGGAUAACCCCGGGAAACUGGGGCUAAUACUUGAUAGGCGAAGGUAACUGGAAUGGUUUUUCACCUAAAGGGCUUUAGAAACAUGCUUCUAACGUCGCCUGAGGAUGGGGCCGCGUCCGAUCAGGUUGUUGGUGAGGUAACGGCUCACCAAGCCUAUAACCGGUACGGGCCGUGAGAGCGGUAGCCCGGAGAUGGGUACUGAGACAAGGACCAGGCCCUACGGGGCGCAGCAGUCGCGAAAACUCCGCAAUGCACGAAAGUGUGACGGGGCUACCCCGAGUGCCAUCCGCUGAGGAUGGCUUUUCUUUGGUAUAACUAGCCAGGGGAAUAAGGAGAGGGCAAGACUGGUGUCAGCCGCCGCGGUAAUACCAGCUCUCCGAGUGGUAGGGAUGAUUAUUGGGCUUAAAGCGUUCGUAGCCGGCUUAGCAAGUCUCCUGUUAAAAUCAGCGACCUAAUCGUUGAAUCGCGGGAGAUACUACUAGGCUAGGAGGCGGGAGAGGUCGACGGUACUUCUGGGGUAGGGGUGAAAUCCUAUAAUCCCGGGAGGACCACCAGUGGCGAAGGCUGUCGACUAGAACGCGCCCGACGGUGAGGGACGAAAGCUGGGGGAGCGAACCGAUUAGAUACCCGGGUAGUCCCAGCUGUAAACGAUGCGGGCUAGGUGUUGGGAUGGCUACGUGCCAUUUCAGUGCCGCAGGGAAGCCAUUAAGCCCGCCGCCUGGGGAGUACGGCCGCAAGGCUGAAACUUAAAGGAAUUGGCGGGGGAGCACCACAAGGCGUGAAGCUUGCGGUUC